CAUCCUCCCUGGCUCCUGCCUCUUCUGCUCAUUCUUCCUCAAGCAGGUAAGACAUGCAUGCUGGAGCAAUAGCAGUAUCCACACAUAUGGCAGUAUAUACAUCUUAUAGCAUGAUGCUAAGAGGUGAAGGGAAGGACUGUUUUGUUGGUGAUAGUCUUGGUCACUUUUCUGCUUGCUUUUCAGGAUUCUAUCUUAGAGCAUGGCAAAUGCUAGAGUGGCCUACCUCUAAAUUUGUGAAACAUGGGCCCUAAAUAUCCCCAAACUGAGAGUCUGUAUGACUGAUUGAUAGCUAAGUGUUCUAUAGUAGAGUAUUUACCUUUUGUACAAGUUAGGCAAGGCCCUGGACCACAGGGACUCAACGAUAGUCAGGCUCACUCACUAUAAUAAAUGACCAUUCAAGUCUCAGCUUGUCUCAUGCACUCUCUCAUUUGUCGCUUACAUAUACAGACAUCACUGUAUAACUAUGUUUUGCAGUUGGGAUUUCAUUUUCAGAAGCUUAUGAGCAUAGUUACUAGAAUGUUCAUGCCACAAGAAAAAAUAUUGGCAUACAGAGGGCAGAAGACACCUGCUUCCCAGCACAGCCAAUGUUAACCAACCUGACUGUGCAUCACCUGUCAUAUCAUGUGCAGUGUUAUCUACUUGCUGUAACUGUAUUUAUUUGUUUGUUUAAUGAUUCUAUUUAAUAAGCAAGUAAAAAGAAUGUCUAGAAUUUAACCUCUUAGAACGGUUUCUUGAACCACUAAAAAAGAUAUUUAACCUUCUUCAUUGCUUAAAGAAGACUCUUUAGAAAAUGAAUGCCUCUUCAAUGGUAUGCAUUUACUGUUAUCCCCAGCUACUGAAUGACAACUAUGAGCUACUAUGUUUACAUCUGGCCAAACCUCAGUGGCCUAACCUUCAUUUUGCUUCUAACAUGAGAGUCUCAGCUAAGUAACUCCCAACCAGAGUAGACAGUAAGGCACAUAAAAUCUCUACUAUACAUGUAUAAUUUUUUUUAAAGAAUUUGCCAUUUUCUGGCAAAGAAAAACUUCUGAAUCACUAUCAUGAUAGUAUAUUAUAAUUAGAGCUUGAGUGUUGGUCACAUAAUGACUAGCUAAAAUUAUGGCUAAGAAGGGUUUCUCUGUGGUUUCUCAAACCUCUUUCCCAAACCUCCCAAAAAAAUCAUUAUUCCUCUGGAAAUGCUGACUCCAGGUUCACAUGCC
This 1199-nucleotide long non-coding RNA is filed under the name Mus musculus (house mouse). RNAcentral's name for it is "long non-coding RNA chr3:93393697-93394896". The record is from RNAcentral. Lineage: Eukaryota; Metazoa; Chordata; Mammalia; Rodentia; Muridae.